RNAcentral lists this ribosomal RNA (128 nucleotides) under uncultured Acinetobacter sp. Its description in RNAcentral is "partial 16S ribosomal RNA". It matches the Rfam family "Bacterial small subunit ribosomal RNA", at positions 406 to 525 of the family's 1533-position model. The record is from RNAcentral. Lineage: Bacteria; Pseudomonadati; Pseudomonadota; Gammaproteobacteria; Moraxellales; Moraxellaceae.
AGAAGAAGGCCUUAUGGUUGUAAAGCACUUUAAGCGAGGAGGAGGCUUACCUGGUUAAUACCUAGGAUAAGUGGACGUUACUCGCAGAAUAAGCACCGGCUAACUCUGUGCCAGCAGCCGCGGUAAUA